CCUACGGGCGGCAGCAGUCGAGAAUCAUUCACAAUGGGGGAAACCCUGAUGGUGCGACGCCGCGUGGGGGAAUGAAGGUCUUCGGAUUGUAAACCCCUGUCAUGUGGGAGCAAAUUAAAAAGAUAGUACCACAAGAGGAAGAGACGGCUAACUCUGUUCCAGCAGCCGCGGUAAUACAGAGGUCUCAAGCGUUGUUCGGAAUCACUGGGCGUAAGGCGUGCGUAGGCGGUUUCGUAAGUCGUGUGUGAAAGGCGCGGGCUCAACCCGCGGACGGCACAUGAUACUGCGAGACUAGAGUAAUGGAGGGGGAACCGGAAUUCUCGGUGUAGCAGUGAAAUGCGUAGAUAUCGAGAGGAACACUCGUGGCGAAGGCGGGUUCCUGGACAUUAACUGACGCUGAGGCACGAAGGCCAGGGGAGCGAAAGGGAUUAGAUACCCUGGUAGUC
RNAcentral lists this ribosomal RNA (446 nucleotides) under uncultured bacterium. RNAcentral describes it as "partial 16S ribosomal RNA". It matches the Rfam family "Bacterial small subunit ribosomal RNA", at positions 338 to 795 of the family's 1533-position model. The record is from RNAcentral.